Molecule: ribosomal RNA, 429 nt
Filed under: Gemmatimonadota bacterium
Lineage: Bacteria; Pseudomonadati; Gemmatimonadota
Description: Gemmatimonadetes bacterium partial 16S ribosomal RNA
Rfam family: Bacterial small subunit ribosomal RNA
Source: RNAcentral
UAGGGAAUCUUCGGCAAUGGACGAAAGUCUGACCGAGCAACGCCGCGUGAGUGAAGAAGGUUUUCGGAUCGUAAAACUCUGUUGUUAGAGAAGAACAAGGACGUUAGUAACUGAACGUCCCCUGACGGUAUCUAACCAGAAAGCCACGGCUAACUACGUGCCAGCAGCCGCGGUAAUACGUAGGUGGCAAGCGUUGUCCGGAUUUAUUGGGCGUAAAGCGAGCGCAGGCGGUUUCUUAAGUCUGAUGUGAAAGCCCCCGGCUCAACCGGGGAGGGUCAUUGGAAACUGGGGGACUUGAGUGCAGAAGAGGAGAGUGGAAUUCCAUGUGUAGCGGUGAAAUGCGUAGAUAUAUGGAGGAAUACCAGUGGCGAAGGCGGCUCUCUGGUCUGUAACUGACGCUGAGGCUCGAAAGCGUGGGGAGCAAACAGG